GCUUGCUUCUCGCUGACGAGCGGCGGACGGCUUAGUAAUACUUAGGAAUCUACCUAGUAGUGGGGGAUAGCUCGGGGAAACUCGAAUUAAUACCGCAUACGACCUACGGGAGAAAGGGGGCAACUUGUUGCUCUCGCUAUUAGAUGAGCCUAAGUCGGAUUAGCUAGAUGGUGGGGUAAAGGCCUACCAUGGCGACGAUCUGUAGCUGGUCUGAGAGGAUGAUCAGCCACACCGGGACUGAGACACGGCCCGGACUCCUACGGGAGGCAGCAGUGGGGAAUAUUGGACAAUGGGGGCAACCCUGAUCCAGCCAUGCCGCGUGUGUGAAGAAGGCCUUUUGGUUGUAAAGCACUUUAAGCAGUGAAGAAGACUCCAUGGUUAAUACCCAUGGACGAUGACAUUAGCUGCAGAAUAAGCACCGGCUAACUCUGUGCCAGCAGCCGCGGUAAUACAGAGGGUGCAAGCGUUAAUCGGAAUUACUGGGCGUAAAGCGAGCGUAGGUGGCUUGAUAAGUCAGAUGUGAAAGCCCCGGGCUUAACCUGGGAACGGCAUCUGAUACUGUUAGGCUAGAGUAGGUGAGAGGAAGGUAGAAUUCCAGGUGUAGCGGUGAAAUGCGUAGAGAUCUGGAGGAAUACCGAUGGCGAAGGCAGCCUUCUGGCAUCAUACUGACACUGAGGUUCGAAAGCGUGGGUAGCAAACAGGAUUAGAUACCCUGGUAGUCCACGCCGUAAACGAUGUCUACUAGUCGUUGGGUCCCUUGAGGACUUAGUGACGCAGCUAACGCAAUAAGUAGACCGCCUGGGGAGUACGGCCGCAAGGUUAAAACUCAAAUGAAUUGACGGGGGCCCGC
Molecule: ribosomal RNA, 850 nt
Filed under: Psychrobacter sp. EST5R2A
Lineage: Bacteria; Pseudomonadati; Pseudomonadota; Gammaproteobacteria; Moraxellales; Moraxellaceae
Description: bacterial SSU rRNA
Rfam family: Bacterial small subunit ribosomal RNA
Source: RNAcentral